AAAAAUUAAUAAUAAUAAUAAUAAUGUAGAUGUGUGUCGUGUAGUCGAGUUUAAAAGAAAAAAAAAACAAGGAUGCGUGUGGAGAGAUCGACAGAUUUUGAUUACUAAAAUGAAUAGAUUUAGAAAAAAAAUAAUAAAUAAAUAAAAUAAGAGUAGUAUGAUUUUAUGGAACGGUGAAGAGAAAAAAUAAUAAUAAUGUAGAUGUAUGUUGUAUAGCAAGGGGUUUAAAAGAAAAGAAAAGAAAAUCCAGGAAAUAAGGAAGAAAAAAAAGGUGUCAUUAUUAUAAUAAUAAUAAUAGAUGUAGUUAGUGGCUUGGAGUAAGGGUGUUGCACAGUCCUUGAAAGUAAUAGAUAUAUAUAUAAUGGGGUGUGGGGG
This 375-nucleotide long non-coding RNA is filed under the name Vitis vinifera (wine grape). RNAcentral's name for it is "long non-coding RNA (VVIN_LNC001962)". The record is from RNAcentral. Lineage: Eukaryota; Viridiplantae; Streptophyta; Magnoliopsida; Vitales; Vitaceae.